This 157-nucleotide unclassified non-coding RNA is filed under the name uncultured fungus. Its description in RNAcentral is "sequence contains ITS1, 5.8S rRNA gene". The record is from RNAcentral. Lineage: Eukaryota; Fungi.
GUGAAAUCCAACGGUCGGUGCCCCGGCGCCUUAAUGGGUCGGGCCCUUCCAUCAUCUCACACACUUUUGUUGAACCGUAGGGAGUUGGCUAACGCCUUCUCUCGCCCUUUCAAACUCUUAAAGUCUCAGAAUGAAGUUAUGGUGAAAACCAAAAACA